AUUUAGAUAGCUUAUAUUUAGAGCAUGAUAUUGAAGAUAUCAGUGAGAUUUUGGUCUUUAAAUA
Molecule: transfer RNA, 64 nt
Filed under: Melasis buprestoides
Lineage: Eukaryota; Metazoa; Arthropoda; Insecta; Coleoptera; Eucnemidae
Description: tRNA-Phe
Source: RNAcentral